ACGAACGCUGGCGGCAUGCCUAACACAUGCAAGUCGAACGAGACCUUCGGGUCUAGUGGCGCACGGGUGCGUAACGCGUGGGAACCUGCCCUUAGGUUCGGAAUAACUCCCCGAAAGGGGUGCUAAUACCGGAUAAUGUCUUCGGACCAAAGAUUUAUCGCCUUUGGAUGGGCCCGCGUUGGAUUAGCUAGUUGGUAGGGUAAAAGCCUACCAAGGCGACGAUCCAUAGCUGGUCUGAGAGGAUGAUCAGCCACACUGGGACUGAGACACGGCCCAGACUCCUACGGGAGGCAGCAGUGGGGAAUAUUGGACAAUGUGCGAAAGCCUGAUCCAGCAAUGCCGCGUGAGUGAUGAAGGCCUUAGGGUUGUAAAGCUCUUUUACCCGGGAUGAUAAUGACAGUACCGGGAGAAUAAGCUCCGGCUAACUCCGUG
Molecule: ribosomal RNA, 432 nt
Filed under: uncultured bacterium
Lineage: Bacteria
Description: partial 16S ribosomal RNA
Rfam family: Bacterial small subunit ribosomal RNA
Source: RNAcentral